RNAcentral lists this ribosomal RNA (206 nucleotides) under uncultured bacterium. RNAcentral describes it as "partial 16S ribosomal RNA". It matches the Rfam family "Bacterial small subunit ribosomal RNA", at positions 568 to 774 of the family's 1533-position model. The record is from RNAcentral.
CGCGUAGGCGGUCCGUUAAGUGUGAAGUGAAAUCUCCAGGGCUCAACCCGGAAACUGCUUUACAUACUGGCGGACUGGAGGGAUGCAGAGGUUUGUGGAAUUCCUGGUGUAGCGGUGAAAUGCGUUGAUAUCAGGAGGAACACCCAUGGCGAAGGCAGCAAACUGGGCAUCAUCUGACGCUGAGGCGCAAAGCGUGGUAGCAAACA